UUGGUGGCCAUAAAACAAAAUACACUCA
This 28-nucleotide non-coding RNA is filed under the name Mus musculus (house mouse). The record is from RNAcentral. Lineage: Eukaryota; Metazoa; Chordata; Mammalia; Rodentia; Muridae.